CGGACGGGUGAGUAAUGUCUGGGGAACUGCCCGAUGGAGGGGGAUAACUACUGGAAACGGUAGCUAAUACCGCAUAACGUCGCAAGACCAAAGAGGGGGACCUUCGGGCCUCUUGCCAUCGGAUAUGCCCAGAUGGGAUUAGCUAGUAGGUGGGGUAACGGCUCACCUAGGCGACGAUCCCUAGCUGGUCUGAGAGGAUGACCAGCCACACUGGAACUGAGACACGGUCCAG
Molecule: ribosomal RNA, 232 nt
Filed under: uncultured bacterium
Lineage: Bacteria
Description: partial 16S ribosomal RNA
Rfam family: Bacterial small subunit ribosomal RNA
Source: RNAcentral